RNAcentral lists this ribosomal RNA (399 nucleotides) under uncultured bacterium. RNAcentral describes it as "bacterial SSU rRNA". It matches the Rfam family "Bacterial small subunit ribosomal RNA", at positions 356 to 772 of the family's 1533-position model. The record is from RNAcentral.
GGGGAAUAUUGGACAAUGGGGGCAACCCUGAUCCAGCAAUGCCGCGUGAGUGAUGAAGGCCUUAGGGUUGUAAAGCUCUUUUGGCGGGGACGAUGAUGACGGUACCCGCAGAAUAAGCCCCGGCUAACUACGGGCCAGCAGCCGCGGUAAUACGUAGGGGGCGAGCGUUGUCCGGAUUUACUGGGCGUAAAGCGCGCGCAGGCGGUUCGUUAAGUCCGUUGUGAAAGCUCCCGGCUCAACUGGGAGAGGUCUUCGGAAACUGGCGGACUCGAGGGAGGCAGAGGAAGGUGGAAUUCCCGGUGUAGUGGUGAAAUGCGUAGAGAUCGGGAGGAACACCAGUGGCGAAGGCGGCCUUCUGGGCCUUUCCUGACGCUGAGGCGCGAAAGCGUGGGGAGCGAA